Molecule: ribosomal RNA, 450 nt
Filed under: uncultured organism
Description: partial 16S ribosomal RNA
Rfam family: Bacterial small subunit ribosomal RNA
Source: RNAcentral
ACACUCCUACGGGAGGCAGCAGUGGGGAAUAUUGGACAAUGGGCGCAAGCCUGAUCCAGCCAUGCCGCGUGAGUGAUGAAGGCCCUAGGGUUGUAAAGCUCUUUCACCGGUGAAGAUAAUGACGGUAACCGGAGAAGAAGCCCCGGCUAACUUCGUGCCAGCAGCCGCGGUAAUACGAAGGGGGCUAGCGUUGUUCGGAUUUACUGGGCGUAAAGCGCACGUAGGCGGACUAUUAAGUCAGAGGUGAAAUCCCGGGGCUCAACCCCGGAACUGCCUUUGAUACUGGUAGUCUUGAGUUCGAGAGAGGUGAGUGGAAUUCCGAGUGUAGAGGUGAAAUUCGUAGAUAUUCGGAGGAACACCAGUGGCGAAGGCGGCUCACUGGCUCGAUACUGACGCUGAGGUGCGAAAGCGUGGGGAGCAAACAGGAUUAGAUACCCGAGUAGUCCCAUG